UACGUAGGGUGCGAGCGUUAAUCGGAAUUACUGGGCGUAAAGCGUGCGUAGGUGGUUCGUUGUGUCUGUGGUGAAAGCCCCGGGCUUAACCUGGGAAUGGCUAUGGAAACUGGCGAGCUGGAGUCUGGCAGAGGGGGGUGGAAUUCCGCGUGUAGCAGUGAAAUGCGUAGAGAUGCGGAGGAACACCGAUGGCGAAGGCAGCCCCCUGGGCUAAGACUGACGCUGAGGCACGAAAGCGUGGGGAGCAAACAGG
This 253-nucleotide ribosomal RNA is filed under the name uncultured bacterium. RNAcentral describes it as "partial 16S ribosomal RNA". It matches the Rfam family "Bacterial small subunit ribosomal RNA", at positions 524 to 776 of the family's 1533-position model. The record is from RNAcentral.